GAUGAACGCUGGCGGCGUGCCUAAUACAUGCAAGUCGAGCGAACGGACGAGAAGCUUGCUUCUCUGAUGUUAGCGGCGGACGGGUGAGUAACACGUGGAUAACCUACCUAUAAGACUGGGAUAACUUCGGGAAACCGUAGCUAAUACCGUAUAAUAUUUUGAACCGCAUGGUUCAAAAGUGAAAGACGGUCUUGCUGUCACUUAUAGAUGGAUCCGCGCUGCAUUAGCUAGUUGGUAAGGUAACGGCUUACCAAGGCAACGAUGCAUAGCCGACCUGAGAGGGUGAUCGGCCACAUCGUCACUCAGACACGCUCCAGCCUCCUACGCUAGCAACCAGUCCCGAAUCUUCCCACAUGGGCCAAAGCCUGACGGUGCCACGCCGCGUGAGUGAUGAAGCUCUUCCGAUCGUAAAACUCUGUUACUAGGGAAGCUCAUAUGUGUAAGUAAAUGUGCACAUCUUGACGGUACCUAAUCAGCAACCCACCGCUACCCACGUG
Molecule: ribosomal RNA, 497 nt
Filed under: uncultured bacterium
Lineage: Bacteria
Description: partial 16S ribosomal RNA
Rfam family: Bacterial small subunit ribosomal RNA
Source: RNAcentral